UGGGGAAUAUUGCACAAUGGGGGAAACCCUGAUGCAGCGACGCCGCGUGAACGAAGAAGGUAUUCGUAUCGUAAAGUUCUGUCCUAUGGGAAGAUAAUGACAGUACCAUAGAAGAAAGCUCCGGCUAAAUACGUGCCAGCAGCCGCGGUAAUACGUAUGGAGCGAGCGUUGUCCGGACUUAUUGGGCGUAAAGGGUACGCAGGCGGUUUAAUAAGUCGAAUGUUAAAGAUCGGGGCUCAACCCCGCAAAGCAUUGGAAACUGAUAAACUUGAGUAGUGGAGAGGAAAGUGGAAUUCCUAGUGUAGUGGUGAAAUACGUAGAUAUUAGGAGGAAUACCAGUAGCGAAGGCGACUUUCUGGACACAAACUGACGCUGAGGUACGAAAGCGUGGGGAGCAAACAGG
RNAcentral lists this ribosomal RNA (403 nucleotides) under bacterium. Its description in RNAcentral is "partial 16S ribosomal RNA". It matches the Rfam family "Bacterial small subunit ribosomal RNA", at positions 355 to 776 of the family's 1533-position model. The record is from RNAcentral.